Molecule: long non-coding RNA, 684 nt
Organism: Xiphophorus hellerii (green swordtail)
Lineage: Eukaryota; Metazoa; Chordata; Actinopteri; Cyprinodontiformes; Poeciliidae
Exons: 2
Source: RefSeq, a predicted model, not a curated record
UCCUGCGUGUCGUCCUGUUUCUGCUGUGGAUCCUGCCGUUUGUCCUUCUGAUGAUUCUUAAAAGAAAAUUAAAGCAAAAAGGUGAAUUUACCCAGAACAGCAACAUACAAUACUAGCAUUCGAGAAAAAACAGAGACAAUGUUUUUAUUGUUCUUGUAGAUAUCCAGAUGAAUGUAUUGAACACUUCUGAUGCUUCUAAGAACCCGAGGAUCAAUGAUAUUUGUGAAAAUCCAGAAGACAGCUCAACCUUUGCAUCAAAGCAUCAGGAGCAACAAUGAAGCUGCAGAAUCUCAACAUAUGAACCAAAGUCUCACCACAAAUGAAGAUAUUUAUUCUGAUUGUCAGAAUGCAAAAUGGUGAAAUGCACUGCAGAGGAAAAUAUUAUAUACAUUUCAAGCUAAUUUAAAGAUGUAGAUGCUAAUUGCUAAAUAUUUUAAUGAUGCAACUUGUUUCAUUAUAUUAACUUUCUCCACACAAUAAUAAAUAAGAGGUUUUUGAUGAACCAGCCUUUGUUUCUUUUUACAUUUAGACUAAAUCAUGAAGGUGAUAAGGCUUUCUGUAGAGGAAAACACUUUUAAAUCAGCAGUAUUUUCAUCCUCUUAAAUUGUUCUAGUAAUCUUUUUUAUGUUUCUAUAUUUGUCAUUUGUCAGUUUGACUGUAAAAUAAUUUUUUAUUUAACCUCAA